Molecule: ribosomal RNA, 2789 nt
Filed under: human gut metagenome
Description: bacterial LSU rRNA
Rfam family: Bacterial large subunit ribosomal RNA
Source: RNAcentral
AGCGUACACGGUGGAUGCCCUGGCAGUCAGAGGCGAUGAAGGACGUGCUAAUCUGCGAUAAGCGUCGGUAAGGUGAUAUGAACCGUUAUAACCGGCGAUUUCCGAAUGGGGAAACCCAGUGUGAUUCGUCACACUAUCAUUAACUGAAUCCAUAGGUUAAUGAGGCGAACCGGGGGAACUGAAACAUCUAAGUACCCCGAGGAAAAGAAAUCAACCGAGAUUCCCCCAGUAGCGGCGAGCGAACGGGGAGCAGCCCAGAGCCUGAAUCAGUGUGUGUGUUAGUGGAAGCGUCUGGAAAGGCGCGCGAUACAGGGUGACAGCCCCGUACACAAAAAUGCACAUACUGUGAGCUCGAUGAGUAGGGCGGGACACGUGGUAUCCUGUCUGAAUAUGGGGGGACCAUCCUCCAAGGCUAAAUACUCCUGACUGACCGAUAGUGAACCAGUACCGUGAGGGAAAGGCGAAAAGAACCCCGGCGAGGGGAGUGAAAAAGAACCUGAAACCGUGUACGUACAAGCAGUGGGAGCACAGAGCAAUCUGUGUGACUGCGUACCUUUUGUAUAAUGGGUCAGCGACUUAUAUUCUGUAGCAAGGUUAACCGAAUAGGGGAGCCGAAGGGAAACCGAGUCUUAACUGGGCGUUAAGUUGCAGGGUAUAGACCCGAAACCCGGUGAUCUAGCCAUGGGCAGGUUGAAGGUUGGGUAACACUAACUGGAGGACCGAACCGACUAAUGUUGAAAAAUUAGCGGAUGACUUGUGGCUGGGGGUGAAAGGCCAAUCAAACCGGGAGAUAGCUGGUUCUCCCCGAAAGCUAUUUAGGUAGCGCCUCGUGAAUUCAUCUCCGGGGGUAGAGCACUGUUUCGGCAAGGGGGUCAUCCCGACUUACCAACCCGAUGCAAACUGCGAAUACCGGAGAAUGUUAUCACGGGAGACACACGGCGGGUGCUAACGUCCGUCGUGAAGAGGGAAACAACCCAGACCGCCAGCUAAGGUCCCAAAGUCAUGGUUAAGUGGGAAACGAUGUGGGAAGGCCCAGACAGCCAGGAUGUUGGCUUAGAAGCAGCCAUCAUUUAAAGAAAGCGUAAUAGCUCACUGGUCGAGUCGGCCUGCGCGGAAGAUGUAACGGGGCUAAACCAUGCACCGAAGCUGCGGCAGCGACGCUUAUGCGUUGUUGGGUAGGGGAGCGUUCUGUAAGCCUGCGAAGGUGUGCUGUGAGGCAUGCUGGAGGUAUCAGAAGUGCGAAUGCUGACAUAAGUAACGAUAAAGCGGGUGAAAAGCCCGCUCGCCGGAAGACCAAGGGUUCCUGUCCAACGUUAAUCGGGGCAGGGUGAGUCGACCCCUAAGGCGAGGCCGAAAGGCGUAGUCGAUGGGAAACAGGUUAAUAUUCCUGUACUUGGUGUUACUGCGAAGGGGGGACGGAGAAGGCUAUGUUGGCCGGGCGACGGUUGUCCCGGUUUAAGCGUGUAGGCUGGUUUUCCAGGCAAAUCCGGAAAAUCAAGGCUGAGGCGUGAUGACGAGGCACUACGGUGCUGAAGCAACAAAUGCCCUGCUUCCAGGAAAAGCCUCUAAGCAUCAGGUAACAUCAAAUCGUACCCCAAACCGACACAGGUGGUCAGGUAGAGAAUACCAAGGCGCUUGAGAGAACUCGGGUGAAGGAACUAGGCAAAAUGGUGCCGUAACUUCGGGAGAAGGCACGCUGAUAUGUAGGUGAAGCGACUUGCUCGUGGAGCUGAAAUCAGUCGAAGAUACCAGCUGGCUGCAACUGUUUAUUAAAAACACAGCACUGUGCAAACACGAAAGUGGACGUAUACGGUGUGACGCCUGCCCGGUGCCGGAAGGUUAAUUGAUGGGGUUAGCGCAAGCGAAGCUCUUGAUCGAAGCCCCGGUAAACGGCGGCCGUAACUAUAACGGUCCUAAGGUAGCGAAAUUCCUUGUCGGGUAAGUUCCGACCUGCACGAAUGGCGUAAUGAUGGCCAGGCUGUCUCCACCCGAGACUCAGUGAAAUUGAACUCGCUGUGAAGAUGCAGUGUACCCGCGGCAAGACGGAAAGACCCCGUGAACCUUUACUAUAGCUUGACACUGAACAUUGAGCCUUGAUGUGUAGGAUAGGUGGGAGGCUUUGAAGUGUGGACGCCAGUCUGCAUGGAGCCGACCUUGAAAUACCACCCUUUAAUGUUUGAUGUUCUAACGUUGACCCGUAAUCCGGGUUGCGGACAGUGUCUGGUGGGUAGUUUGACUGGGGCGGUCUCCUCCUAAAGAGUAACGGAGGAGCACGAAGGUUGGCUAAUCCUGGUCGGACAUCAGGAGGUUAGUGCAAUGGCAUAAGCCAGCUUGACUGCGAGCGUGACGGCGCGAGCAGGUGCGAAAGCAGGUCAUAGUGAUCCGGUGGUUCUGAAUGGAAGGGCCAUCGCUCAACGGAUAAAAGGUACUCCGGGGAUAACAGGCUGAUACCGCCCAAGAGUUCAUAUCGACGGCGGUGUUUGGCACCUCGAUGUCGGCUCAUCACAUCCUGGGGCUGAAGUAGGUCCCAAGGGUAUGGCUGUUCGCCAUUUAAAGUGGUACGCGAGCUGGGUUUAGAACGUCGUGAGACAGUUCGGUCCCUAUCUGCCGUGGGCGCUGGAGAAUUGAGGGGGGCUGCUCCUAGUACGAGAGGACCGGAGUGGACGCAUCACUGGUGUUCGGGUUGUCAUGCCAAUGGCACUGCCCGGUAGCUAAAUGCGGAAGAGAUAAGUGCUGAAAGCAUCUAAGCACGAAACUUGCCCCGAGAUGAGUUCUCCCUGACUCCUUGA